Molecule: long non-coding RNA, 8428 nt
Filed under: Hordeum vulgare
Lineage: Eukaryota; Viridiplantae; Streptophyta; Magnoliopsida; Poales; Poaceae
Description: long non-coding RNA (HVUL_LNC021033)
Source: RNAcentral
UGAUUUAUUGAUCGUGUUCUUUAGAUUUUUACGAGUAGGUUUCGAUAUUGGUCACAGCCCAUUCAUUCCACUUCUUGCUGGAUCUUGGUGGAAACGGUUGUCUCAGGUCUACGAUAGAAAAAAUAGGCGCAUACAUUGUUGGAAAAAACAGUGCUUACAAGCCAGGCGCAUACAUUGUUGGAAAAAACAGUGCUUACAAGCCACUUAGGCACGCUUAGGUGCUAAGUAAUGGCUGAACGCCUCGCCUUGAGUGAAAGUCUAGGCAGGGCAAAUAAGAAAUUGCCUACACGAUCAAGCAUGACAUAUUGCAUUGAUAUGUCAAAUGGUAGUAGAUGAUAGUUCACUUAAUUAUAUGCCCUAAAUUAAUAUCAAUACACACAGAAUAACCAUACAUACACUCUGAUAAUAAAAACUGUCGCAAAGGCCAACAGCCUGCUUGGCUUGCGUUUUUUCCAACCUUGGGCACAUAUGUAGAUACUGGAUGUCAUGAAGCUGGAAGAACCAUCCAUUUCUGCAAAAAAGAAAAAAGAAACUGCCAAGAGUCAACCAAUAAGCAAAAAACUGGAACGUUAUUAUCAACACAGAUUACAUCAAUACCAGCUAGCUAUACGAAGGGGCGGGAUUGCAAUGCACACCAGAAAGUAUAAAAUACGUGAGUGCAAUGAAAACACGGUCUAUAGUCUGAAAAAAUGGUGUGCAGCUUGGAAGUAGAUAUGUUUUACUAGAAGGCUCCCUCUGAUGGCUGCUUAUUUGUUCUCAUCAAAAUUGCAAGAGAAUAAUUUAAUUUGAUUAAAGCUCAUUUGUUCCCACUACACAGUAGCAAUUUCCAGUUAAAAUAUGUCAGGCAUACCCUUGCCAUGGGCGUAAUUAAUCCAACAGCAGUUACACCACACAAUAGGCAAUUUUGAAGAAGGGAUUUACCCCCAAUGAAGAACUGAACCCUCUUUAUGUUAGUUGGCUGCAAUCAAUUUAUUCCAAUCAACCUGGAUACUACAAAAACAAGUAAGACUUGGUGCAAAAUUCAUGUGUUGGAACUGAUUUUGCCUUGUCGGUUGGUGGGUUACCUGGACCGUCGAUGGGCACUAAUACAUUCAAACCAUAGGCUGUCAGUAUUAUGCGCGUAACAACUUCACUAAUUAUUUCAAUGCCUAAGCUAAAGCAAUCUGUUUCUGGACAUAAAAAAUAAAAGUAGGCAGUAACCCUUAUGACUGAUUAGAGUAGCCAUGGUAAGCUAAAAAUGUUUUAGGUCUCCUAAUUUCAAACAUACAAAGACGGUCAAAUAUAGCACCGACGAUAGCAGCUAUUAGUGCAAAGACAUAGCAAUAGGUACAUGAUUUGAACCUAUUCCAAGCUAAAAAGAAAUAUAGUAUUCUAGAAGCUUGGAGGAAUUUUACAUAUGGCCAAAAUAUAUGUCAAGACACUUAUGGCUUCAAUGGUUCUAGGAUAUAAAAACAAAAAUGCAAAAAAANNNNNNNNNNNNNNNNNNNNNNNNNNNNNNNNNNNNNNNNNNNNNNNNNNNNNNNNNNNNNNNNNNNNNNNNNNNNNNNNNNNNNNNNNNNNNNNNNNNNNNNNNNNNNNNNNNNNNNNNNNNNNNNNNNNNNNNNNNNNNNNNNNNNNNNNNNNNNNNNNNNNNNNNNNNNNNNNNNNNNNNNNNNNNNNNNNNNNNNNNNNNNNNNNNNNNNNNNNNNNNNNNNNNNNNNNNNNNNNNNNNNNNNNNNNNNNNNNNNNNNNNNNNNNNNNNNNNNNNNNNNNNNNNNNNNNNNNNNNNNNNNNNNNNNNNNNNNNNNNNNNNNNNNNNNNNNNNNNNNNNNNNNNNNNNNNNNNNNNNNNNNNNNNNNNNNNNNNNNNNNNNNNNNNAAGAAACUGCCAAGAGUCAACCAAUAAGCAAAAAACUGGAACGUUAUUAUCAACACAGAUUACAUCAAUACCAGCUAGCUAUACGAAGGGGCGGGAUUGCAAUGCACACCAGAAAGUAUAAAAUACGUGAGUGCAAUGAAAACACGGUCUAUAGUCUGAAAAAAUGGUGUGCAGCUUGGAAGUAGAUAUGUUUUACUAGAAGGCUCCCUCUGAUGGCUGCUUAUUUGUUCUCAUCAAAAUUGCAAGAGAAUAAUUUAAUUUGAUUAAAGCUCAUUUGUUCCCACUACACAGUAGCAAUUUCCAGUUAAAAUAUGUCAGGCAUACCCUUGCCAUGGGCGUAAUUAAUCCAACAGCAGUUACACCACACAAUAGGCAAUUUUGAAGAAGGGAUUUACCCCCAAUGAAGAACUGAACCCUCUUUAUGUUAGUUGGCUGCAAUCAAUUUAUUCCAAUCAACCUGGAUACUACAAAAACAAGUAAGACUUGGUGCAAAAUUCAUGUGUUGGAACUGAUUUUGCCUUGUCGGUUGGUGGGUUACCUGGACCGUCGAUGGGCACUAAUACAUUCAAACCAUAGGCUGUCAGUAUUAUGCGCGUAACAACUUCACUAAUUAUUUCAAUGCCUAAGCUAAAGCAAUCUGUUUCUGGACAUAAAAAAUAAAAGUAGGCAGUAACCCUUAUGACUGAUUAGAGUAGCCAUGGUAAGCUAAAAAUGUUUUAGGUCUCCUAAUUUCAAACAUACAAAGACGGUCAAAUAUAGCACCGACGAUAGCAGCUAUUAGUGCAAAGACAUAGCAAUAGGUACAUGAUUUGAACCUAUUCCAAGCUAAAAAGAAAUAUAGUAUUCUAGAAGCUUGGAGGAAUUUUACAUAUGGCCAAAAUAUAUGUCAAGACACUUAUGGCUUCAAUGGUUCUAGGAUAUAAAAACAAAAAUGCAAAAAAAAAAUAGUUUCUAAAAUUACAGCUCAAGAACAAGCUGAUUAAAAUCUAGAGGCAUUAACAUACCAAGGCAAGCAAAUUUGCUGAAAUGAGAGCUUAUUUAUUGCCUCAAACUGAAUGGGGUUUCGCAUACUUUAGUUGAGCUAUCCAUUCACAAUUUAAAUCCUCAACAAAUUUCAAACUCAAAACUAUGAAUGGAAAGCGCAUACCCAAAAAUAACCCAGUAUGGAAUAUUCAACCUUUAAACUCUCACCUUACAUAUGACUGUCAUAUCCUGCUAGUGGGCCUGCCAGAUUCACUCCAUGAACCUGCAUUUAUAUCAUCAUGCAAAUGAAAUCAGACAAAAGAUGGGCGCAAGAGAUAAAGUAAAGCAUCCUUUGUGCCAUCAUAACAAGGGCUUCUUGUAAUGCCUGAUGCAAGAUAACUCCCGUAAGCAUAUAAUUUAAUUUAUAGAGCUGCGUGGGUACAUUAAGAUUCAACUUACUACCAGAUCUCCCCACAUAAAAGGGAACCAAUUUAUUAAAAUCACAUGGCAAAUCUUAAAUGAGCCCAUGUGGAAGACGCAGACAUUUCUUGCAAGGCAAGGGAUUGUAGUCCAAUGAGAGCACUAUGAUUGCAGAGAUACUUUACAACAUGAAGGUAGAUUAAAGAUUGAAUGAAACGGUAAGUAGAAAUCAUUGCUAAUGCAACUCCCUGUGUAGUCAGACAUCGAAGGAACAGCUGCAGAGAGCUAAGAAAAAGUCACAACUUGUUGUUUGGUAGAUUCAGGAUCGAUUCAUACCAACCAGCUAUAAGCAUGGCAAUUGGCAAGGAAGAUAUCAAUAUACAAAUGUAAGCAAACUGACUCUUCAGUUCAAACUACAUCAAUGGAUAGCAUUCAGAAGAGCGUACAAAAUUAAUAAAAAGUAGUGCAACCAUGAAUUCACGUGGAAAAACUUGUGCACUUCAGUUUAUAGCUUCCUAGCUUCCAUGCUCUUGUGCCCCAGAAAGGGCAUUGCAGUCACUGCAUGCAGAAAGCAAUCAUAGUGUCAGUACUAAAUGGUAGUGUGGAAACCAGAGCCCUAUCGAGAAAGAGCAGACCUGUCAUUUGGCCUGAAACUCUAAUAAUUAAAAAUGGAUUGCCAGGAUAUGAACUCACAAUAUUUUUGGAUCAACCGACACGAGUGUUGAAAGCAUCUUCAUGGAAGUAUUUUUUUUCUCGAUUUCUAGAUCAGUUGCAGAGUAUAUGUGCUACUCACUACUCUCAAUGUAAACAAUAUUUCUCAGUAUGUGUCGGUUUACAGAAACUGAAACUGUAGCUGUCACUACAGGGCUAUUAAGCAUGUUCUGUGCUACUCACUACAGGGCUAUUAAUCAUGUUCUGUGUUACUCACUACAGGGCUAUUAAGCAUGUCCUGUGCUACUCCUAGGAACUGCUGACAAAUUGUAGCAAAUUUAUCGUUCUUCCUGCAAUAUAAACAAGAUAAACCAAAUUUACCUUUUUUCCUGCAUUAGUUGCAUAACCUUUUCUCUUCCUGUUUCAGGAUGUGCUUGUCUUGGAUAUUGGGGGCCAACCUGAAGCGGUGCAAGCUAACUUCAAGACAUAUACCUACAAGGCCAGAGAAUGGUGCUACAGGAAUGGCGUUCGAGUUGAUGCUACCAAGAUUUGCGGGAGAAAGAAACAUGUCUUCACGACCCCACUGAAAAAAACACUCUACACGAUUGUUAAGAACGGAGAUAAUACUAUAACAUUUAUAAAACAAGGUAGGCAUUGGUGGGAAAAGGGAUACUGCACUGGUGGCAAGGCAUAUGAGAUGAUGCCAGAUAAAGGAUGCAAAAAUUACAUGGAAUGCGCAGACACGGAUCACAUUACACUGCCCUUCUAUGGAAACCACCGUUACAUCUCCAAUGGUGACCCUGGAGGGACACUUAUAGGUGUUCGCUAUCUGAGAAAAGCAUUCACCGCCAUACUUGAGGGCGAAGGGCGCGUAGAUCCCAAGUUUAUUGGCGUAUUUGUCUUGUAUCUCGCUGAAGCUCCGACUUUUGAGGUCAUAUUCCAGGCACUAUAUGAGAAUAUACCUAAUCCAAAUUCCUACCGCCUCGACUUCUUUGUUCCAUAUACCAACACACUCGUGCGCCGCUGGAACAAAUUGAGCAAAUAUGCAAUGAAGUAUAUGCACUGUCUACGAGAAGGCAAGGAGCUUCCAGAACUAGACGAGGAGGUUGCUUUGACUGAAUUAAGCUCCAUUCAAGAGGUUCUCAACCUGGUUAAGAUCCUUCAGUUGGAUGCCUAUAAUCAUGGCAUAUUUAUCCACGAGCCAACACAGAACCCGGACCCAGAGGUGUGGAGUGCAGUGGAUAAUGUAUCUGACCGCAAGAAGAAGUAUGAAAGAAGUCCAACUGCUCCUGAGAGUUAUGUUGCUCAGGUCGAUGAAAGCAUGUUCCAUAUGUUGAAUAUCAACGGGAAAGUGGAGAGCUUAUACAUUGACAAACCCCCCAAUUCAGCACUGAAACUGCGCCAAGGGCAUGGCUUGCUUUCAAACAAAGAAACGAGCUUUUCAAGAUCCAUUGCUAAAAGAAGGAUGAGCACAAGUGAAUCUGCUAACGAGGUGUGUACACAGUUAAACAAUACUUUAAUCCUCUGCAUAUCCAUAUUCUGAUCUUUUGGAACCUUGAAUUGCAGAUACUGGAUACACCAAAAGAUAAGCUGCUCCAGACCAGCAAGGUGAAAAUACCUCGUUUCAGCAUCAUAAAUACCUCACUGAAUGAGGACUUCCUUCUUAAAAGGAUUAGAUUGACAGCUCAAAGGCAGCAUCUAUUUGGUUACCAACCACAAGAGAAAAAGGUUUGAAAAAAAUUGUCUAGUUUGAAUGAUCUGCUAUUCACUUUAUAAUACCGUUGCACCUAUUAUUUGCAGGUUUGUUGUUUUGGAGGAACUACCCUGAGGAAUGCAAGUGAAAGGUUCAUAUCAAGCAGAAUAUUGACCAGAAGAAUGCUCGUGCUGAAACCACUGAUGCUCGGGAUGCACAUGCAGAACUGCCCACAGUGGCGAACAACAGUGCCAGCUAUCAAGGGCCAAGGACACGAUGCUAUCCAUCAGUUUAUUCCUCUAAGCCCGCACGGUCCUAGGCAAGGUUUCAUUGGAAGGUAUUCUCUCUUGCUCCAAAAUACCCAACUGUACACUAAAAUAAGCACCAAGACGGACAAAGUACCCAACUGCUUAUUCUUCUGUUCUCCAAUAUUAAAUUGUUGUGUUUUUCUGUAGCCAACCACUAACGUUCGUUAUGCAUUCCUCUAAUACGAUAAGAAUUUCAAUAUGAUGUCUAUGAUGGCCAUCAAUGUACUUCAUUGUAUUUAUGUUGGUAACUCUUUAGUACCAAAUAACUUGAAGCUAAUGUCGAAUGCUAAGCGUUGCGGUUUCCUUUUCAGGGUAACUUCCCUGAUCAGUAAGCUCAGGCAGAGUUGGAAGUCCUGAUGGUGGGGGUGUUGCAUGAACAUGUGCUAUUUCAGUGGUGCUGUUAACAUGAUGCUGGGAGCCUAUUGCUAUGGUGGUUGGCGUGAAGCCCGUGUUUGCCAUGUCUGAAUAUGUUCGCUAACCCCCAUCUAGGAUUUUGCUGUUUGUUGAUAGGUUAGCUUUAUUUUCGUGAUGUUUCUGCAUUCUCCAAAAUCAGGCAUUGUUGGUUUCUUGCGGAAAGAUGGGAAAUCUAUUGAUGACGUUCAUUAGCCGCCAUGUCAAGUAGAGAAUUAUCAUAUGCAAAACUAUUGUGAUAGGUGAUUCGAUUAAUUCUGCCAUGAUGAUUUCCAGUUUUCCACUAUCUGAAAGUGGGUUGUCAUGCCUGCAAUACAAGCCUUAGGAGCUAUAUUUUGCAGGAUGGUUGGUUGAUGAUGCCAAAGAGGAACAAGCAAAACAUCUUUUCAAUCUUCCAAAUGAAUCUAAGGUUCCAAAAUUUGAAAUGUCUUCCAAGCUUUGGACAUAAAAGUAUUUUGAACUUGAACUGACGAUUAAAUCUGAAAAAUACUAACAGAAGAAGCAAAAUCAUCAUAAUUUCACUGUGUUCUGAACUUAUGAUAUAGCUAAUCAUUGAUACUCGUUAGAGGUAUCUCUGACCAUUCUGCUCUUUUGAUACAUACUGGGUUUAUUAAGGCUGCAGCUGCCAGGCCUUUUAAGUUUUGAGCUUUACUGGCUUGUCAGGGGUGAGCUGCCGAAUGUAGUCUCUAUAAUAAUUUGGAAUUCUAUCGCUCCUAAAAAUAACAGCCUGGAUUGGUGGCAGGCUGUUAUGAGGAAGUUACGAAGCGGGCUUAAGGGUUGGGAUCUAAAUGUUGAGGGGAGUGAGUUACAAGAGAAAGAUAAGUUUUAUUAUUAAUGCUUCAGAUAUACUCCCUCCGUAAAGAAAUAUAAGAGCGUUUAGAUCACUAUACAAGUAGUGAUCUAAACACUCUUGUAUAGUGAUCUAAACGCUCUUAUAUUUCUUUACGGAUGGAGUAGUGAUCUAAACGCUCUUAUAUUUCUUUAUUAGUGAUCUAAAUGCUCUUGUAUAGUGAUCUAAACACUCUUGUAUUUCUUUACGGACGGAGUAGUGAUCUAAACGCUCUUAUAUUUCUUGAUGGAGGGAGUACUUGAUAAGAAGUGCGAGCUUGCUGUAGUCUCAGCAGCUAACUAUGAGACCCCCCCCCCUACGUACUAGCUUGCAAGAUGAAUUGAAUAAAAUCUUAGAGAGGAAGAAAUCAAAUGGUACCAGCCACAGGGCCGGAGGCUCAUGCGAACGAAGCCACGGGCACUAAACUGAGCAUCCAACAGUGCAGGGGUAAGUGGCAACGGCAGACACCUAGCAACGUCGACGGAAACGUGACGAAGACCACCAGAUCAUGCAAGCGAGAGGCACAGGUCCGGGUGCACGCGGCACCAGGACCAGCCUGAUCAUACAUCAAAAUUAGCUCCUGCCAAACGUCCCGGACAAGGAGAAAAAGAAAAGGAACUUGGUCAGUGAGAAUUUCAUAAAAGAAGAAAGCGGACCAAAACAAAGAUGCAUUCCUCUGACGAUAGAAGGUACCUGAGCAUGUGCUCAUCUGGUGAACAGAGGCAGGCCAAAGGAUGCUGCUGCCGGUGCCCCCGUCAAGACUCACACCUCACAGCAAUCGCAGCGACAGAGAGGGGCCGUUAUAGCAACCUGCGAAAAACAAAAUUGCAACCCUUAGGGAACGGUAGAGCAAGCAAACGACAGCCCAGAGACAGAUAAAAAAGCAAUCUUUUUGAGAAUGAAAAUAGCAAAGACGCUGCAGGGUGGAGGAGCCUGCAACCUGUCCGAUGAGAAUCGCCGGGAGAUCCGCCAGACGGGGCAGCAGCAGCCCAAAUCGAAGAGUAAUCGAUCGACGAGGGGCUGGGGAAAGAGGAGCCGCCGCAUCGGAAGAGGGGGAAAACAGGAUUUGAUGGGAGUUACUGCGACUAGGGACGAGGCCGAAACUUGCUGUGGAGCAAGGACGCGGAGCUGAGCUUCUGCCGGCCGGGGCGACCCAUCACCACUCACUACAUGCCCCUGGACCUGCCGGACGGGGCGACCCAUCACCACUCACUGCAUGCCCCUGGACCUGCCGGCCGCCGGCGCCGGGCACGACUACGCGAUAGGCGCCGCCGCGAGCUUCCGGUGGUGCAGGCG